Molecule: long non-coding RNA, 814 nt
Organism: Nothoprocta perdicaria
Lineage: Eukaryota; Metazoa; Chordata; Aves; Tinamiformes; Tinamidae
Exons: 3
Source: RefSeq, a predicted model, not a curated record
CAGUUCUGAGUCCUGGUGCUUUCUUUUGGAGUGGUGCUGAGGGCAGAGCCUUAUGCCCUGGCUGCUGGAGGCUUGGGACUUGCACCAGCCUGGAGAAGAUGACUCUUAGUCCUUUUGAGCACUAUUGAACAGUCUGUAGAAAGCACUUGAUCAAGUCAUCACUUAGCUGCUGCUAAUGGAUCAGAUAGAAGAUUAAGGCAGAAGUGGAAGUUCUUUAUGGAUUAGUCAUAGACGAUCUGUUCCUAGCGUGUACCAGGACAUACAGUAAUACCCAUGGGGGUGCCAAGGAGCCGAACUUCACACAUCUCCUGAGAGUCAGUAAUUCAGCACAACAUAUGCACAGGGAUGGAUUCUCCAGCCCUAAUUUGCAGCUGAAAUCUAGAGGACACUAGGAAAAAAAUCUAAAUCAGGUGAAAUUAAACAGACUUCAGAUAUAUGGGAGAUGGACUCUGAAAGCUACUAGUGGCAAAAUGGGAGAUUGUUUUUGAAGAACAGCGUGUCUCAUUCCUGACCCCACAGCCUUCCACGCGAGCCAGGCGGAGAGCUCUGAUGCCAAUCCAAUAGGCAUGCUCAGCAGAUGUCCAAGUCUCUGUUUUAUAUCCAGUGAUACUAAGAGUUGUUUAUAAAGGCAAGACGUUAUUGUUUUGAGUGUUUGGCAUUGCCUCUCAUCUUCUAAAAGUUGAGAGGAACGAAUCUGAUGAUGUUUCCAGCUAUUUCAUCUCUGUUAUGAGAGUGGGCUGUCAGAAUUCACUGCGUCUUCUCUGACUUAUCCUGCACUUGUUUUACUCUUCAUUGCCCUGUUAGGAAACUUUUU